GAUGAACGCUGGCGGCGUGCCUAAUACAUGCAAGUCGAGCGAACAGACGAGGAGCUUGCUCCUCUGACGUUAGCGGCGGACGGGUGAGUAACACGUGGAUAACCUACCUAUAAGACUGGGGUAACUUCGGGAAACCGGAGCUAAUACCGGAUAAUAUAUUGAACCGCAUGGUUCAAUAGUGAAAGACGGUUUUGCUGUCACUUAUAGAUGGAUCCGCGCCGCAUUAGCUAGUUGGUAAGGUAACGGCUUACCAAGGCAACGAUGCGUAGCCGGCCUGAGAGGGUGAUCGGCCACACUGGAACUGAGACACGGUCCAGACUCCUACGGGAGGCAGCAGUAGGGAAUCUUCCGCAAUGGGCGAAAGCUUGACGGAGCAACGCCGCGUGAGUGAUGAAGGUCUUCGGAUCGUAGAACUCUGUUAUUAGGGAAGAACAAAUGUGUAAGUAACUAUGCACGUCUUGACGGUACCUAAUCAGAAAGCCACGGCUAACUACGUG
This 497-nucleotide ribosomal RNA is filed under the name uncultured bacterium. RNAcentral describes it as "partial 16S ribosomal RNA". It matches the Rfam family "Bacterial small subunit ribosomal RNA", at positions 28 to 507 of the family's 1533-position model. The record is from RNAcentral.